UACGUAGGGUGCAAGCGUUGUCCGGAAUUAUUGGGCGUAAAGAGCUCGUAGGCGGUUCGUCGCGUCGGCUGUGAAAUCCCGAGGCUCAACCUCGGGUCUGCAGUCGAUACGGGCGGACUGGAGUUCGGCAGGGGAGACUGGAAUUCCUGGUGUAGCGGUGAAAUGCGCAGAUAUCAGGAGGAACACCGGUGGCGAAGGCGGGUCUCUGGGCCGAUACUGACGUGAGGAGCGAAAGCGUGGGGAGCGAACAGG
This 252-nucleotide ribosomal RNA is filed under the name uncultured bacterium. RNAcentral's name for it is "partial 16S ribosomal RNA". It matches the Rfam family "Bacterial small subunit ribosomal RNA", at positions 524 to 776 of the family's 1533-position model. The record is from RNAcentral.